UGACAGGGAGACAGGUGGUGCAUGGUUGUCGUCAGCUCGUGUCGUGAGAUGUUGGGUUAAGUCCCGCAACGAGCGCAACCCUCGCCUUAGUUGCCAGCAUUCAGUUGGGCACUCUAGAGGGACUGCCGGUGCCAAACCGGAGGAAGUGGGAUGACGUCAAGUCCUCAUGGCCUUUAUGUCUAGGGCUACACACGUACUACAAUGGCCGGUACAAAGGGCAGCCACUCAGCGAUGAGGCGCUAAUCCCAUAAAGCCGGUCUCAGUCCGGAUCGCAGUCUGCAACUCGACUGCGUGAAGUUGGAAUCGCUAGUAAUCGUAGAUCAGCAUGCUACGGUGAAUACGUUCCCGGGCCUU
Molecule: ribosomal RNA, 354 nt
Filed under: uncultured Desulfovibrio sp.
Lineage: Bacteria; Pseudomonadati; Thermodesulfobacteriota; Desulfovibrionia; Desulfovibrionales; Desulfovibrionaceae
Description: bacterial SSU rRNA
Rfam family: Bacterial small subunit ribosomal RNA
Source: RNAcentral